AGCCCUCCUCGGCCAAUUACCGUGUGGGGGGUGGAGCUACCUCUCUGCGGGCGCAUCUGGAGCUGCGCAGGGCUGCAGAAGGGGGACCAGCCAAGGCGAGCUCUGAGGGACCCUGGCCCGGAAUUGGAGCAGGUGUGCCGGCCUUAGGUCAGAGGUGCCUGCUUAUCCACACCUGACAGCACUUCUCCACUCUGGCUCCAUGAGGCCCGAAGUUUUGGAAUCAGCGUUCUGAGUCAGUCAUGCAUCUUGUCUCAGGAUGUUGGCGUUCCAAGAAGGCAGCAGACACGUUCGGCGCAAUGCCAUAUUCAUGUCCGGAUGGGAGGCAAUCCCUUGGAUUUGAAAGGGAAGAUGAGAUGGACUCGGUGUGUGUUUGGAACCUAGAAUGCAUUCCUUCCUCGAACAGUGUUGAUUCCAUGGGUCCUAGGCUGUGGGGAAUGGCCGGCAUCUACAGUGAGGUGGCUGUUUGUGGUCAGAGGCAGACUUUGAUGAUGUCAUUUUUCAAAGGUGAAGUUUCAUAAUUGAUUAGUCUUUUCAUCAAAAGAGUUACAAUUAGGGUCAAGGGAAGAUUAAAAAUUAUUCAAAGUAGACAUUUACCAUUUAAAAGGAAAGCUUGACUUUCUAGUUUGACUCUGUAUUGUCUAGAUAUUUGGACGUGCUGUAUUUUCUCUGCAGUUUCCUUGGUAGUGGA
Molecule: long non-coding RNA, 688 nt
Organism: Mustela erminea (ermine)
Lineage: Eukaryota; Metazoa; Chordata; Mammalia; Carnivora; Mustelidae
Exons: 3
Source: RefSeq, a predicted model, not a curated record